GGCAGUCAGAGGCGAUGAAGGACGUACUAACUUGCGAUAAGCGCAGAUAAGGCAGUAAGAGCCGUUUGAGUCUGCGAUUUCCGAAUGGGGAAACCCAACUGCACAAGCAGUUACUGUUAACUGAAUACAUAGGUUAACAGAGCAAACCGGGGGAACUGAAACAUCUAAGUACCCCGAGGAGAAGAAAUCAACCGAGAUUCCGGUAGUAGCGGCGAGCGAACCUGGAUUAGCCCUUAAGCACUCGGUGAAGUAGGUGAACAAGCUGGAAAGCUUGGCGAUACAGGGUGAUAGCCCCGUAACCGACGCUUCAUCGAGCGUGAAAUCGAGUAGGGCGGGACACGUGAUAUCCUGUCUGAAUAUGGGGGGACCAUCCUCCAAGGCUAAAUACUCCUGACUGACCGAUAGUGAACCAGUACCGUGAGGGAAAGGCGAAAAGAACCCCUGUGAGGGGAGUGAAAUAGAACCUGAAACCGUGUACGUACAAGCAGUAGGAGCACCUUCGUGGUGUGACUGCGUACCUUUUGUAUAAUGGGUCAGCGACUUAUAUUCAGUGGCAAGGUUAACCGUAUAGGGGAGCCGUAGCGAAAGCGAGUCUUAACUGGGCGCUCAGUCUCUGGAUAUAGACCCGAAACCGGGUGAUCUAGCCAUGGGCAGGUUGAAGGUUGAGUAACAUCAACUGGAGGACCGAACCGACUAAUGUUGAAAAAUUAGCGGAUGACUUGUGGCUAGGGGUGAAAGGCCAAUCAAACUCGGAGAUAGCUGGUUCUCCCCGAAAGCUAUUUAGGUAGCGCCUCGGACGAAUACUACUGGGGGUAGAGCACUGUUAAGGCUAGGGGGUCAUCCCGACUUACCAACCCUUUGCAAACUCCGAAUACCAGUAAGUACUAUCCGGGAGACACACGGCGGGUGCUAACGUCCGUCGUGGAGAGGGAAACAACCCAGACCGCCAGCUAAGGUCCCAAAGUAUUGCUAAGUGGGAAACGAUGUGGGAAGGCUCAGACAGCUAGGAUGUUGGCUUAGAAGCAGCCAUCAUUUAAAGAAAGCGUAAUAGCUCACUAGUCGAGUCGGCCUGCGCGGAAGAUGUAACGGGGCUAAGCAAUACACCGAAGCUGCGGCAAUGCCUUUUAGGUAUUGGGUAGGGGAGCGUUCUGUAAGCCGUUGAAGGUG
Molecule: ribosomal RNA, 1167 nt
Filed under: Vibrio cholerae
Lineage: Bacteria; Pseudomonadati; Pseudomonadota; Gammaproteobacteria; Vibrionales; Vibrionaceae
Description: partial 23S ribosomal RNA
Rfam family: Bacterial large subunit ribosomal RNA
Source: RNAcentral